Molecule: ribosomal RNA, 464 nt
Filed under: Vreelandella stevensii
Lineage: Bacteria; Pseudomonadati; Pseudomonadota; Gammaproteobacteria; Oceanospirillales; Halomonadaceae
Description: partial 16S ribosomal RNA
Rfam family: Bacterial small subunit ribosomal RNA
Source: RNAcentral
CUACGGGACACAGCAGUGGGGAAUAUUGGACAAUGGGCGAAAGCCUGAUCCAGCCAUGCCGCGUGUGUGAAGAAGGCCUUCGGGUUGUAAAGCACUUUCAGUGGGGAAGAAAGCCUUGGGGCUAAUACCCUCGAGGAAGGACAUCACCCACAGAAGAAGCACCGGCUAACUCCGUGCCAGCAGCCGCGGUAAUACGGAGGGUGCGAGCGUUAAUCGGAAUUACUGGGCGUAAAGCGCGCGUAGGCGGUCUGAUAAGCCGGUUGUGAAAGCCCCGGGCUCAACCUGGGAACGGCAUCCGGAACUGUCAGGCUAGAGUGCAGGAGAGGAAGGUAGAAUUCCCGGUGUAGCGGUGAAAUGCGUAGAGAUCGGGAGGAAUACCAGUGGCGAAGGCGGCCUUCUGGACUGACACUGACGCUGAGGUGCGAAAGCGUGGGUAGCAAACAGGAUUAGAUACCCCGGUAGUC